This 354-nucleotide unclassified non-coding RNA is filed under the name Penaeus japonicus. Its description in RNAcentral is "cell surface glycoprotein 1-like, transcript variant X3". Lineage: Eukaryota; Metazoa; Arthropoda; Malacostraca; Decapoda; Penaeidae. The record is from RNAcentral.
GUAGGAUGUGCGGGCGGAGGGGGCCGUGUUCGAGCUGCUGGGGGCACUCACGGAAGAGGAGGAUAUGAACCCAUGGAUGGUGAUGUUAUUCUGUCUCUUGGGCCUCUUUGGCAUGGGUUUCGUCAUCUGGCUCGCAGUUUACAUUUAUCUCAAGAACUGCAACUAGUGAAGACUCCAUCUCUCUCUCACUCACGCUCUGGCACUUCCUGAAAUGGUGGUAGUGGACUAACUGCAACUGGGCUGGUAGUGCUACUACUAGCCAUCAUAGGUAUAGGUGUUGGACUAUAUUAUGCCUAUAUAUGCCUUAGAGCUCGACCACUCCGUCCCCGACAGCCCGCAGACUCAGAACACGGC